GACGAACGCUGGCGGCGUGCCUAAUACAUGCAAGUCGAGCGAAGAGUCGCGGGGCUUGGCACUAGAAAGAUUGAGGCGGGAACGGGUGAGAAACGUGGAAAGAACCUGUCUCAGAGACGGGGACAACCGGGGGAAAGGAUAUAAAAUAGGGGAAAAUAGUAUAUCGCACGGGAGAGAAAUGUAAAAGGGGUUUGUUGCAACAUAUAGAUAGAUCUUUGCGGUGCAUUAGCUAGUUGGAGGGGUAACGGCCCACCAAGGCGACGAUGCAUAGCCGACCUGAGAGGGUGAUCGGCCACACUGGAACUGAGACACGGCCCAGACUCCUACGGGAGGCAGCAGUAGGGAAUCUUCCGCAAUGGGCGAAAGCCUGACGGAGCAACGCCGCGUGAGUGAUGAAGGAUUUCGGUUCGUAAAGCUCUGUUGUUAGGGAAGAAUGAAUAUGUAAUAACCUAAGCUGUACGUGACGGUACCUAAUCAGAAAGCCACGGCUAACUACGUG
This 499-nucleotide ribosomal RNA is filed under the name uncultured bacterium. RNAcentral's name for it is "partial 16S ribosomal RNA". It matches the Rfam family "Bacterial small subunit ribosomal RNA", at positions 28 to 507 of the family's 1533-position model. The record is from RNAcentral.